This 465-nucleotide ribosomal RNA is filed under the name uncultured bacterium. Its description in RNAcentral is "partial 16S ribosomal RNA". It matches the Rfam family "Bacterial small subunit ribosomal RNA", at positions 28 to 507 of the family's 1533-position model. The record is from RNAcentral.
GACGAACGCUGGCGGCGUGCUUAACACAUGCAAGUCGAACGGAAAGGCCCCUUUGGGGGUACUCGAGUGGCGAACGGGUGAGUAACACGUGAGUAACCUGCCCUUGACUUCGGGAUAACUUCAGGAAACUGGGGCUAAUACCGGAUAGGAAUCCUUGCUGCAUGGUGGGGGUUGGAAAGCUUCGGCGGUUUUGGAUGGACUCGCGGCUUAUCAGCUUGUUGGUGGGGUAGUGGCUUACCAAGGCUUUGACGGGUAGCCGGCCUGAGAGGGCGACCGGCCACAUCGGGACUGAGAUACGGCCCAGACUCCUACGGGAGGCAGCAGUGGGGAAGAUUGCACAAUGGGCGGAAGCCUGAUGCAGCAACGCCGCGUGCGGGAUGACGGCCUUCGGGUUGUAAACCGCUUUCAGCAGGGGCGAAGCUUGUGGUGACGGUACCUGCAGAAGAAGCACCGGCUAACUACGUG